UAAAGCGUGCGUAGGCGGCUUUUUAAGUCGGAUGUGAAAUCCCCGAGCUUAACUUGGGAAUUGCAUUCGAUACUGGGAAGCUAGAGUAUGGGAGAGGAUGGUAGAAUUCCAGGUGUAGCGGUGAAAUGCGUAGAGAUCUGGAGGAAUACCGAUGGCGAAGGCAGCCAUCUGGCCUAAUACUGACGCUGAGGUACGAAAGCAUGGGGAGCAAACAGGAUUAGAACCCGAGU
RNAcentral lists this ribosomal RNA (230 nucleotides) under uncultured bacterium. RNAcentral's name for it is "partial 16S ribosomal RNA". It matches the Rfam family "Bacterial small subunit ribosomal RNA", at positions 561 to 791 of the family's 1533-position model. The record is from RNAcentral.